AUGCUCCGGCUUCUCUUCAGAUCGUAAAAAGCUUUCGCCUUUUACUAAAGAUUUCCGCGGAGAGGAGCGGUCAGGAGCUUUCGCCUCAAUUUUUUUAGGCUCUGCUUCGGUGGAGCU
RNAcentral lists this small nuclear RNA (117 nucleotides) under Callorhinchus milii (elephant shark). RNAcentral's name for it is "U5 spliceosomal RNA (ENSCMIG00000015728.1)". It matches the Rfam family "U5 spliceosomal RNA". From Rfam's summary of the family: U5 RNA is a component of both types of known spliceosome. The record is from Rfam by way of RNAcentral. Lineage: Eukaryota; Metazoa; Chordata; Chondrichthyes; Chimaeriformes; Callorhinchidae.